This is a non-coding RNA of Pelobates cultripes (western spadefoot toad), 965 nucleotides long. The record is from the annotation of a GenBank genome assembly. Lineage: Eukaryota; Metazoa; Chordata; Amphibia; Anura; Pelobatidae.
CAGCUUACACAGGAUAAUUGAAUCAGCAUAACACACAGAACAAUGAGGUGAGUUCCUUGCCACAUGUUAAAUGGAUUUACAUGGGCACCUCUAAAGACACCUGGCUUCUUCCGACCCAGUCAUGAAACUGAAACUCUAGUUUCUGGAAACCCCUUGAAUAACCUCCCAUCUGGUAUCCACCCACAGAGGUAACAUAACCAAUACCUAAUGGUCAUCUCUAGGAGGCGGAUACUACAUGUGGUCCUUUGUGAAAGGAAGUGACUUAAGAAUUCUCAAUACCUUCCUAAAGCACAUGUCUCAUUGACUAUGCGGCAGCCAUCUUUAUUCACUCGACGUCACAGUGCUCACUAGGCCACCUAUAGGUCACUUCCUCCCUAAAGCACAUGUCUCAUUAAAUAUGCAGCAGCCAUCUUCUUGCUCUUAAUGUCACAUAGCUCACUACACCCCCUAUAGGUAUCAUAAGUUAUUGCACAUGGGGACACAAUAAUAGAACAUUUAUCAUUGCCCAUAACCAAUACAUCUGUGGCGAAACCAACCUCGCCACUGUGAACUGGAGAAGCCUGGUUGCUCGCCUGCUCCCUUUGGACUAUGGCCCUGCAGGUUAAACCGUUUAUUUCCCCUGCAGAAAGGCUUAUUUGUGUGAUCUGAGUGCCAUUCAUCUAAUAAUGUGCACUCAGAUCCCAGCUAUCUGGGGAUAUGUGAAAUGUCUGUGUGUUAUGUGUAAAUGUGACUUUAUGUAUUUUAAAGUGUUUUGUGUCUUUUUGCAACCAUGUGCUUAAUGGAGUCUUGUGUCUAUCCUGGGAGAUAAUUGAAUUAUUCUCCAGGAUAGAAGACUCUGAAACUGGUUUGGGCCAGAAAGCCAUGCUUCAUUUAGUCACAAAGGACUUUCCCUUAACUUUUGAACCCCUGGUCUGAUUCGUGCCAUUUUUUAAUAUGUUGUUCCCCUGAAUGGAUUGAUUAUGAAA